GGAAACGGCCAGAGAUGGUCGCCCCCUUGUGGUCGGUGUACAGGUGGUGCAUGGCUGUCGUCAGCUCGUGUCGUGAGAUGUUGGGUUAAGUCCCGCAACGAGCGCAACCCUUGUUCUGUGUUGCCAGCAUGCCCUUCGGGGUGAUGGGGACUCACAGGAGACUGCCGGGGUCAACUCGGAGGAAGGUGGGGACGACGUCAAGUCAUCAUGCCCCUUAUGUCUUGGGCUGCACACGUGCUACAAUGGCAGGUACAAAGAGCUGCGAAGCCGUGAGGCGGAGCGAAUACUCAANAANCCUGUCUCAGUUCGGAUUGGGGUCUGCAACUCGACCCCAUGAAG
This 339-nucleotide ribosomal RNA is filed under the name Streptomyces sp. ABS-97. RNAcentral describes it as "bacterial SSU rRNA". It matches the Rfam family "Bacterial small subunit ribosomal RNA", at positions 992 to 1325 of the family's 1533-position model. Lineage: Bacteria; Bacillati; Actinomycetota; Actinomycetes; Kitasatosporales; Streptomycetaceae. The record is from RNAcentral.